This 433-nucleotide ribosomal RNA is filed under the name uncultured bacterium. Its description in RNAcentral is "partial 16S ribosomal RNA". It matches the Rfam family "Bacterial small subunit ribosomal RNA", at positions 29 to 507 of the family's 1533-position model. The record is from RNAcentral.
AGCGAACGCUGGCGGCAGGCCUAACACAUGCAAGUCGAACGAACCUUUCGGGGUUAGUGGCGGACGGGUGAGUAACACGUGGGAACGUGCCUUUAGGUUCGGAAUAACUCAGGGAAACUUGUGCUAAUACCGAAUGUGCCCUUCGGGGGAAAGAUACGUCGCCUUUGGGGCGGCCGGCGUCUUUUUGGCUAGUUGGUUGAGGUAAUGGCUCACCAAGGCGACGAUCAGUAGCUGGUCUAGGAGGAGGAUCAGCAACAUUGGGACUGGGACACGGCCCAAACUCUGACGGAAGGCAGCAGGGGGGAACCUGGCGCAAUGGGCGAAAGCCGGACGCAGCCGGGCCGGGUGAAUGUUGAGGUUCUAAGGAUUGGAAACUUCUUUAACCGGGGACGAUAAGAACGGAACCCGAGAAAAAGGCCCCGGCAACUUUGUG